This 465-nucleotide ribosomal RNA is filed under the name uncultured bacterium. Its description in RNAcentral is "bacterial SSU rRNA". It matches the Rfam family "Bacterial small subunit ribosomal RNA", at positions 338 to 795 of the family's 1533-position model. The record is from RNAcentral.
CCUACGGGAGGCACCAGUGGGGAAUAUUGCACUAUGGGCGCAAGCCUGAUGCAGCCAUGCCGUGUGUAUGAAGAAGGCCUUCGGGUUGUAAAGUACUUUCAGCGGGGAGGAAGACGAUAAGGUUAAUAACCUUGUCGAUUGACGUUACCCGCAGAAGAAGCACCGGCUAACUCCGUGCCAGCAGCCGCGGUAAUACGGAGGGUGCAAGCGUUAAUCGGAAUUACUGGGCGUAAAGCGCACGCAGGCGGUCUGUCAAGUCGGAUGUGAAAUCCCCGGGCUCAACCUGGGAACUGCAUUCGAAACUGGCAGGCUGGAGUCUUGUAGAGGGGGGUAGAAUUCCAGGUGUAACGGUGAAAUGCGUAGGGAUCUGGAGGAAUACCGGUGGCGAAGGCGGCCCCCUGGACAAAGACUGACGCUCAGGUGCGAAAGCGUGGGGAGCAAACAGGAUUAGAUACCCCUGUAGUC